GAUGAACGCUGGCGGCGUGCCUAAUACAUGCAAGUCGAGCGAACGGACGAGAAGCUUGCUUUUCUGAUGUUAGCGGCGGACGGGUGAGUAACACGUGGAUAACCUACCUAUAAGACUGGGAUAACUUCGGGAAACCGGAGCUAAUACCGGAUAAUAUUUUGAACCGCAUGGUUCAAAAGUGAAAGACGGUCUUGCUGUCACUUAUAGAUGGAUCCGCGCUGCAUUAGCUAGUUGGUAAGGUAACGGCUUACCAAGGCAACGAUGCAUAGCCGACCUGAGAGGGUGAUAGGCCACACUGGAACUGGGACACGGUCAAGACGCCUACGGGAGGCAGCAGUAGGGAAUCUUCCGCAAUGGGCGAAAGCCUGACGGAGCAACGCCGCGUGAGUGAUGAAGGUCUUCAGAGCGUAAAACUCUGUUAUUAGGGAAGAACAGAUGUGUAAGUAACUGUGCACAUCUUGACGGUACCUAAUCAGAAAGCCACGGCUAACUACGUG
This 497-nucleotide ribosomal RNA is filed under the name uncultured bacterium. RNAcentral describes it as "partial 16S ribosomal RNA". It matches the Rfam family "Bacterial small subunit ribosomal RNA", at positions 28 to 507 of the family's 1533-position model. The record is from RNAcentral.